ACACGACUACAUUAGAUACCCCCGUAGUCCCAGCCCUAAACGAUGCGCGUUAGGUGUAUCGGUGACCACGAGUCACCGAGGUGCCGAAGGGAAACCGUGAAACGUGCCGCCUGGGAAGUACGGUCGCAAGGCUGAAACUUAAAGGAAUUGGCGGGAGAGCACCACAACGGGUGGAGCCUGCGGUUUAAUUGGACUCAACGCCGGGAAGCUCACCGGAUAAGACAGCGGAAUGAUUGCCGGGCUGAAGACCCUGCAUGACCAGCUG
This 265-nucleotide ribosomal RNA is filed under the name uncultured archaeon. Its description in RNAcentral is "partial 16S ribosomal RNA". It matches the Rfam family "Archaeal small subunit ribosomal RNA", at positions 717 to 982 of the family's 1478-position model. The record is from RNAcentral.